This is a long non-coding RNA of Helianthus annuus (common sunflower), 589 nucleotides long. RefSeq lists it as uncharacterized. The record is from RefSeq and is a predicted model, not a curated record. NCBI's taxonomy places the organism in Eukaryota, Viridiplantae, Streptophyta, Magnoliopsida, Asterales, Asteraceae. The transcript has 2 exons.
AGGUUUCGAAUAUUAAAAUGUCUCGAGAGGGUCAAAACGAGAGAGAGAGAGAGAGAGAUAUAUCUGCAAAACAACGAACUCUCCACGAUUCUCUCUCACACCGCUCUCCAAUCUAGAACAAACACAAUGGAGGCGGAGAAGAACGAAGAACUGGAAUGAUUAAGAUGAAGAUUAAACAAGGAUCUGUCUUUCAACUUAUCUAUAUGAAGUUGAACUCCCAUCUGCUUCGUUUUUUCACUGUUUUAUGAACAGGAGUGUCGCAUAUCAGGCUUCACAACGAUUUCAACUCCCCUCCCAGGUUAGCAAAUGGAAAAUGAAAGACGGAUGCACAUAAUGAGGAAUAAAAAGAAGGGGUCAGAGGUUUUCUCUAUAGCGUAUUAGUUGAAAUGAAAAUAUUUGACUAAGUUCGAAAAUACGAGUUUUCGUCAUCACUAUUCUUAAAGUGUUAUGUUUUAAGAGUUAUUGGGUUUUAUGUUUGGUUUUGGCCAUGAUGCUAAUCUCCGAUGUUUGAUAUUUGAUGAUAUGUGAAAGAAUAGGUGGUGUUCAUCUUGGGUUGGAUUAGGGCAUAGUAAAUGGGUGAUUUAGGACA